UGUAAUUGUAAAGAGCUAAAGUGCCUUUGGUUAGGAAGUAAAAUAAAUCCCAAAGGCCCAGAUCAGUGGUCAGUGAAUAGCAGAAACCAGGAGCCCGGAGCAGGAGACCUGGAAGGGCAGCUGGGAAGUACGGAGAGUAGAAAACAAGUCACAGAUGCCAUUGUCUGGAGACACAGGUCACUCUUCAUUUGUCUACUGAGGUUUUCUGGAUUUACUUCUCUAAUAAUCCAUCUGCACUUGAAUCCUUGUCUCUGGAUCUGCUUCGAAGGACCCCCAAGACAUACGUUAACACACAGAGAAGCGAUCUGACAUUUUUCUCUAGGCCAUGCACUUAAAGCUGGCACCAAGAAAGGAAGAAAGCCACCGAUCAUUACUUCCGUUCCCAGCAGCACAGAACUGACUGCCAACCGUGGACCAUCAGUGUCUGCUUCUGGGACUCUCUUA
Tupaia belangeri chinensis (Chinese tree shrew) is the source of this 444-nucleotide long non-coding RNA. RefSeq lists it as uncharacterized. The transcript is spliced from 4 exons. NCBI's taxonomy places the organism in Eukaryota, Metazoa, Chordata, Mammalia, Scandentia, Tupaiidae. The record is from RefSeq and is a predicted model, not a curated record.